GUAAAGUAGUGAAGAGGUAGAGUUACAGGUAUACAGUGAAUAGUGAAUAUUUGAGUAAUGUUCGAAUCCAGAUUACGGCAAAAGAAAAUCAAUCAAAAAAGACGAAUUUCAAGAACUUUGAAAAUAUCCUCCAAAAACAUUAUAAUGGUGAAACUGGCACUCAUCAGGACUCAUCAGAUAAGAGCACCUAAAUAAUUGCUUCUUCACAGAGCAUUUUUCGGUUUGUUUAACACUUUUAAGUUACUACAUGAUUCUUUAUGGAGUUUGGAUCACUUCACUAUUCAUUUCCACUGUUAAAAAACACAUUUCUCACUUUUCUCCCCUCUUUUAGGAAGAUUUACACCAGCACACGGAGCUGUAUGAGAAAGAUUUUGUUUUAUUUGUUGAAUUAGCCGUUCUCCUCUCCUGGUUCUCGCCGUUUGAUCAGUGGAAUGAAUCAGAUCAGUCGGUUAUUUACAUGAAUUUCUCAGUUUUUCUCUUCAGUCCCGAAGUGUCCUAAAAAGCCGAGGUGGUGAGGCGGUAGAAUGAGCAGUCUUUAGUAUAGAAAACAAUCAUGUCAUGAGAAGAGCGAGCGAGCAGGCGGACGGCGGGCACGGCGCCCUCUCCUGGACGGGUAUAGAAAAGGGGGAGGAGUCUCUGAUGGAGCUUGCAGCAGAUCUUCUUGUUCGGACUCUCGGUGGAGGACCAGGCACUACUCUCUUCCACACAGAAUAACAUUAAAAUAACAAAUAAAGAGCUUUAAUGGAGCACAUAUGAGCAGGUAGAGCUCUGUUGGAUGGAGAGAUAGAGAUGGAUAGAAAGAAAGAGAGAGAGAGAGAGAGAGAGAGAGAGAUUACCUGCACAACUGCCAGCUUCCCAUAUAAUCCCUGCUGAAGAAACCAGCAUGGCCAGUUUAGCUCUCUUGACCAGUAUAGGGUAUUAAUAUGGUGCUACUACCACUUUAUAUGAUGGUCAGUAGAGUAAAACUGUGUUUCAGGUGGUUGCUGUGGUGUUGCUGCUAUGUGGUUGCUAUGAUAUCCCAGGUCAUUACUAUGGAGCUGCUACUUUAUGUAGUCAGUAGGGUAAACCUGUUUGUGUUUCAGGUGGUUGCUGUGGUGUUGCUAAGUGGUAUCUAUGCUAUCCAAGGUCAUUACUAUGGUGCUACCACUGUAUGUGCUUAAUAGGAUAAGGUAAACUGUGUAUGUUAGGUGGUUGCUGUGUUGUUGCUAGGUGGUUCAUAUGAUAUCCCAGGUCAUUACUAUGACAUUGUUACUGUAUGUGCUCAGUAGGAUAAGGUAAACUGUGCAUGUUAGGUGGUUGCUGUGGUGUUGCUAUGAGGAAGCUAUGAUAUGCCAGGUCAUUACUAUGGUGCUGCUACUUUAUGUAGUCAGUAAGGUAAAACUGUUUGUGUUUCAGGUGGUUGCUGUGGUGUUGCUCAGUGGUUACUGUGGGGUUGCAAGGUGGUUGCUGUGGUGUUGCUACUAUACAUGGUCAGUAGGGUAAAUUGUUUUAUGGUCAUGACUAUUUGAUGUUUGUUAGGUGGUUACUCUGGUGUUUCAGGUAGUUAUGUGUUUUGCUGCUAAGUAAAUGCUAUAGUAUCCCAGGUGUUUACUAUGCUGCUGUUACAGUGGCGUUUUAGGUGGUUGCUGUGGUGUUGCUUAGGUAUGCUCCCAUGUUAUUGCUACUGUAUAUGGUCAAUAAGAUGAAACUGCAUUUGCUAGGUGGUCACUCUGACGUUUUUUCUGAUUGUUGCCAUGGUAUUGUAUACUGUAGGUGGUUCAGA
RNAcentral lists this long non-coding RNA (1762 nucleotides) under Astyanax mexicanus (Mexican tetra). Its description in RNAcentral is "lncRNA (ENSAMXG00005001520.1)". The record is from RNAcentral. Lineage: Eukaryota; Metazoa; Chordata; Actinopteri; Characiformes; Acestrorhamphidae.